Molecule: ribosomal RNA, 244 nt
Filed under: uncultured Actinomycetes bacterium
Lineage: Bacteria; Bacillati; Actinomycetota; Actinomycetes
Description: uncultured actinobacterium partial 16S ribosomal RNA
Rfam family: Bacterial small subunit ribosomal RNA
Source: RNAcentral
GAUGAACGCUGGCGGCGCGCCUAACACAUGCAAGUCGAACGGCACCCCUCUCCGGAGGGAAGCGAGUGGCGAACGGCUGAGUAACACGUGGAGAACCUGCCCCCUCCCCGGGAUAGCCGCCCGAAAGGACGGGUAAUACCGGAUACCCCCGGGCGUCGCAUGGCGCCCGGGCUAAAGCCCCGACGGGAGGGGAUGGCUCCGCGGCCCAUCAGGUAGACGGCGGGGUGACGGCCCACCGUGCCGA